GGGCCAUAGCUCAGCUGGGAGAGCGCCUGCUUUGCACGCAGGAGGUCGGCGGUUCGAUCCCGCCUGGCUC
Molecule: transfer RNA, 70 nt
Filed under: Gammaproteobacteria bacterium
Lineage: Bacteria; Pseudomonadati; Pseudomonadota; Gammaproteobacteria
Description: tRNA-Ala
Rfam family: tRNA
About the family: Transfer RNA (tRNA) molecules are approximately 80 nucleotides in length. Their secondary structure includes four short double-helical elements and three loops (D, anti-codon, and T loops).
Source: RNAcentral